Molecule: non-coding RNA, 89 nt
Organism: Ascodesmis nigricans
Lineage: Eukaryota; Fungi; Ascomycota; Pezizomycetes; Pezizales; Ascodesmidaceae
Source: the annotation of a GenBank genome assembly
GCUCGGUUGGUCUAGUGGUAUGAUUCUCGCUUAGGGUCCACCCUGAGAACGUUUGCGAGAGGUCCCCGGUUCAAACCCGGGAUCGAGCC